CCCUUAGACGUUCUGGGCCGCACGCGCGCUACACUGACGAAGGCAACGAGCUUUCCUUUACCGAAAGGUACGGGUAAUCUUUUGAAACUUCGUCGUGCUGGGGAUAGAUCCUUGCAAUUAUUGAUCUUAAACGAGGAAUUCCUAGUAAGCGCAAGUCAUCAACUUGCGUUGAUUACGUCCCUGCCCUUUGUACACACCGCCCGUCGCUACUACCGAUUGAAUGGUUUAGUGAGGCCUUCGGAUCCGCGACUCGUUUUGUGGAGAAGUUGGACAAACUCAGUCAUUUAGAGGAAGGAGAAGUCGUAACA
This 308-nucleotide ribosomal RNA is filed under the name uncultured eukaryote. RNAcentral describes it as "partial 18S ribosomal RNA". It matches the Rfam family "Eukaryotic small subunit ribosomal RNA", at positions 1470 to 1796 of the family's 1831-position model. The record is from RNAcentral.